GAGAGACUCCACCGGGGAAAACGCCGUUGUGCUAGGCAUUUCAGUGCUGGGUAAGUCGUAGACAUUGCAUCUGUGGUCAAUGCUUUUUGCAUGUUAUAUUCUCAAUUUUCAUUCAUCAUUUUUUGCAUCCCAUUUUUGCUUGGAUCGCCCUUUCGGGUUUUCGACCCACCGGGGAAAUAAAUUCUUUUCAAUGCCCCAUUUUUGCCUGAACUGCCCUUUCGGGUUGUC
Molecule: long non-coding RNA, 228 nt
Filed under: Medicago truncatula (barrel medic)
Lineage: Eukaryota; Viridiplantae; Streptophyta; Magnoliopsida; Fabales; Fabaceae
Description: long non-coding RNA (MTRU_LNC008176)
Source: RNAcentral